UACGGAGGGUGCAAGCGUUGUUCGGAAUGACUGGGCGUAAAGGGCGCGUAGGCGGUCCAAUUAGUCAUCUGUGAAAUCCCAGAGCUCAACUUUGGAAUUGCAGGUGAAACUGUUGGUCUUGAAUACCAGAGGGGAUGGUGGAAUUCCUGGUGUAGGAGUGGAAUCCAUAGAUAUCAGGAGGAACAUCUGAGGCGAAGGCGGCCAUCUGGCUGUGUAUUGACGCUGAGGCGCGAAAGCGUGGGGAGCAAACAGG
RNAcentral lists this ribosomal RNA (253 nucleotides) under uncultured bacterium. RNAcentral describes it as "partial 16S ribosomal RNA". It matches the Rfam family "Bacterial small subunit ribosomal RNA", at positions 524 to 776 of the family's 1533-position model. The record is from RNAcentral.